UUUUUGGCCGUGUAGUCCUCGUUCGACGGGUGCUCCUGGAUUUCCGUUUUGAUGCCGUGGCACUUUUCGAAGUGUUGCUUGUAAAAUAGGUCAAAGUGGGGCAACAUGGAGCUGGGGUGGCGGAGGUUCAUCCUGGGGAAGGCCAUGGCGAAACAUGGGGGUAUUUAGCAUCGAUGGUGGGUAAUAUCGUGGUUUGUCUACAUCUGUGAGUCACUCGUUAUGCAACGAAAACGGUGUUCGUGGUUUAGCUUACCUGGAGUUUGUGAAAAUCGCCCGAAUUCUUCCAAGACUGGUCAAUUUUAUUGUGGGGAUAUAACCUUAAAAGUUGGUUUAGAAGUUUCCCGAAGUAACUUUGGUGAGGAUGGUUAGGGAAGAGAAGAGACGCGAUUUACGUUACGGGACGAUUUUAAAUGACAGUUUUGUAAUUAGCACGGGCAACCAGGAAUACACUGGUCUUCCACGUCACAUUUGGACUAGGCAACACACAAUACGACAGUGUCACAACAGCAUAUCUACAUAGUGUACCUAAAUAAUUCAUACAUAAUAUAAUCAGUGUGCACAAAAUAUCUGUAUCUAAAUACUAAAUUAAUGGCGCAGAUACAGAUACAUUUUUUUAUUUCACUUUUUUUUCAGUAGUUAUUAGUUGAGUCAUUGAUUAAAUACAUAUAGAUAGACCCAUGCUAUUGUUUGGAGCGAACAGGCCAACGGCCGGCGAACAAGAGAUGGCGCACCAACAGUCGGCCGUCAAACGCCGGCGAAAAGCUUGGACACCAAUCGCGCGCGUAGAUAACCCAAAUCGCAGCAACAAUACAUUUAAUAAAGCUACCACUCGACAGAGGGCGACGAAAACAAUGUGUAAAAAUCUCAUAGUAACCAUUUAUAUAAUUUGCAACGUUGCCAGAUGAGCCUAGCACAACUUUGCCGUUAUUUCUAGUCGAUUAGAUUUUAUUUCGUUUAAAAGUUU
Zophobas morio is the source of this 964-nucleotide long non-coding RNA. RefSeq lists it as uncharacterized. The record is from RefSeq and is a predicted model, not a curated record. The transcript is spliced from 3 exons. NCBI's taxonomy places the organism in Eukaryota, Metazoa, Arthropoda, Insecta, Coleoptera, Tenebrionidae.